UGUAGCUGGCCUUCCGAGGCAUGUGCACGCUCUGCUCAUCCACUCUACCCCUGUGCACUUACUGUAGGUUGGCGUGGGCUCCUUAACGGGAGCAUUCUGCCGGCCUAUGUAUACUACAAACACUUUAAAGUAUCAGAAUGUAAACGCGUCUAACGCAUCUAUAAUACAACUUUUAGCAACGGAUCUCUUGGCUCUCGCAUCGAUGAAGAACGCAGCGAAAUGCGAUAAGUAAUGUGAAUUGCAGAAUUCAGUGAAUCAUCGAAUCUUUGAACGCACCUUGCGCUCCUUGGUAUUCCGAGGAGCAUGCCUGUUUGAGUGUCAUGGAAUUCUCAACUUAUAAAUCCUUGUGAUCUAUAAGCUUGGACUUGGAGGCUUGCUGGCCCUCGUUGGUCGGCUCCUCUUGAAUGCAUUAGCUUGAUUCCGUACGGAUCGGCUCUCAGUGUGAUAAUUGUCUACGCUGUGACCGUGAAGUGUUUUGGCGAGCUUCUAACCGUCCAUUAGGAC
This 504-nucleotide ribosomal RNA is filed under the name Trametes versicolor. RNAcentral describes it as "eukaryotic LSU rRNA". The stretch from base 168 to 321 matches the Rfam family "5.8S ribosomal RNA". The record is from RNAcentral. Lineage: Eukaryota; Fungi; Basidiomycota; Agaricomycetes; Polyporales; Polyporaceae.